RNAcentral lists this ribosomal RNA (513 nucleotides) under uncultured Rickettsiales bacterium. RNAcentral describes it as "bacterial SSU rRNA". It matches the Rfam family "Bacterial small subunit ribosomal RNA", at positions 538 to 1050 of the family's 1533-position model. Lineage: Bacteria; Pseudomonadati; Pseudomonadota; Alphaproteobacteria; Rickettsiales. The record is from RNAcentral.
GCGUUGUUCGGAAUCACUGGGCGUAAAGCGUAUGUAGGCGGAUCAAAAAGUUAGAUGUGAAAUCCCUGGGCUCAACCCAGGAACUGCAUUUAAAACUAGUGAUCUAGAAUUUGGUAAAGGUUAGUAGAAUUUCCAGUGUAGAGGUGAAAUUCGUAGAUAUUGGAAAGAAUACCAGAAGCGAAGGCGACUAACUAGGCCAUUUUUGACGCUGAGAUACGAAAGCGUGGGUAGCAAACAGGAUUAGAUACCCUGGUAGUCCACGCAGUAAACGAUGAGUGCUAGUCGCUGGGACAAUAGUUUCAGUGUCGACGCUAACGCAUUAAGCACUCCGCCUGGGAAGUACGGUCGCAAGAUUAAAACUCAAAUAAAUUGACGGGGACCCGCACAAGCAGUGGAGCAUGUGGUUUAAUUCGACGCAACGCGAAGAACCUUACCAGCGUUUGACAUGGGAAGUGCCGGUUACAGAAUGGUAACCUUCAGUUCGGCUGGCUUCCACACAGGUGCUGCAUGGCU